Molecule: unclassified non-coding RNA, 415 nt
Filed under: Hevea brasiliensis (rubber tree)
Lineage: Eukaryota; Viridiplantae; Streptophyta; Magnoliopsida; Malpighiales; Euphorbiaceae
Source: RNAcentral
AACUCUUUUUGACUAAAAGGGUGUAUUAGAAUCGCUUCAAAUCAUCAAAAAGACACCAAAGUUCACUUUUUUAGGUUGUUUGUUGUUCUGGGUCAGUUGUGAAUGAUCUGAUAUCUUUGUUGUUUUUUUAAGGAUGGCUGAUGAUAUGGUCAUUCAUUUUGCAUCCAAUUCUUCUAACCAAUCUGACCAGUCUUUGCCUACAAAAAUUGCGAAACUUGAGGCAAGAAUGGUGGGGAAAGCUUCAUCUGUUACAUCUCAAGCUAAUUCCUGGUCUUCCCCAGCUAUGUUUGAGAAUGUUGCUGAGCCUGCCACCGUCUCUAGUGAUUCAGAUGAUGAUGAUAACGGAGUGGAAUAUCUCAUACAAGCAAACACUCAGAAGCGGCGCAAACUUGAAGAAGACGACAGCUCAACUUCG